ACGGGAGGCAGCAGUGGGGGAUAUUGCACAAUGGGGGAAACCCUGAUGCAGCGACGCCGCGUGAGUGAUGAAGUAUUUCGGUAUGUAAAGCUCUAUCAGCAGGAAAGAAAAUGACGGUACCUGACUAAGAAGCCCCGGCUAACUACGUGCCAGCAGCCGCGGUAAUACGUAGGGGGCAAGCGUUAUCCGGAUUUACUGGGUGUAAAGGGAGCGUAGACGGCUUGGCAAGUCUGAAGUGAAAGCCCGGGGCUCAACCCCGGAACUGCUUUGGAAACUGUUGAGCUGGAGUGCAGGAGAGGUAAGCGGAAUUCCUAGUGUAGCGGUGAAAUGCGUAGAUAUUAGGAGGAACACCAGUGGCGAAGGCGGCUUACUGGACGGUAACUGACGUUGAGGCUCGAAAGCGUGGGGAGCAAACAGGAUUAGAUACCCUGGUA
Molecule: ribosomal RNA, 434 nt
Filed under: uncultured Clostridium sp.
Lineage: Bacteria; Bacillati; Bacillota; Clostridia; Eubacteriales; Clostridiaceae
Description: partial 16S ribosomal RNA
Rfam family: Bacterial small subunit ribosomal RNA
Source: RNAcentral